AGCGAACGCUGGCGGCAGGCCUAACACAUGCAAGUCGAACGAACCUUUCGGGGUUAGUGGCGGACGGGUGAGUAACACGUGGGAACGUGCCUUUAGGUUCGGAAUAACUCAGGGAAACUGGUGCUAAUACCGAAUGUGCCCUUCGGGGGAAAGAUUAAUCGCCUUUAGAGCGGCCCGCGUCUGAUUAGCUAGUUGGUUGAGGUAAUGGCUCACCAAGGCGACGAUCAGUAGCUGGUCUGAGAGGAUGAUCAGCCACAUUGGGACUGAGACACGGCCCAAACUCCUACGGGAGGCAGCAGUGGGGAAUCGUGCGCAAUGGGCGAAAGCCUGACGCAGCCAUGCCGCGUGAAUGAUGAAGGUCUUAGGAUUGUAAAAUUCUUUCACCGGGGACGAUAAUGACGGUACCCGGAGAAGAAGCCCCGGCUAACUUCGUG
This 434-nucleotide ribosomal RNA is filed under the name uncultured bacterium. RNAcentral describes it as "partial 16S ribosomal RNA". It matches the Rfam family "Bacterial small subunit ribosomal RNA", at positions 29 to 507 of the family's 1533-position model. The record is from RNAcentral.